UACGAAGGGGGCUAGCGUUGCUCGGAAUCACUGGGCGUAAAGGGUGCGUAGGCGGGUCUUUAAGUCAGAGGUGAAAUCCUGGAGCUCAACUCCAGGACUGCCUUUGAUACUGAGAAGCUUGAGUCCGGGAGAGGUGAGUGGAACUGCGAGUGUAGAGGUGAAAUUCGUAGAUAUUCGCAAGAACACCAGUGGCGAAGGCGGCUCACUGGCCCGGUACUGACGCUGAGGUGCGAAAGCGUGGGGAGCAAACAGG
RNAcentral lists this ribosomal RNA (253 nucleotides) under uncultured bacterium. Its description in RNAcentral is "partial 16S ribosomal RNA". It matches the Rfam family "Bacterial small subunit ribosomal RNA", at positions 524 to 776 of the family's 1533-position model. The record is from RNAcentral.